UACGUAGGGGGCAAGCGUUAUCCGGAAUUAUUGGGCGUAAAGAGUACGUAGGUGGUUACCUAAGCACGAGGUAUAAGGCAAUGGCUCAACCAUUGUUCGCCUUGUGAACUGGGUUGCUUGAGUGCAGGAGAGGAAAGCGGAAUUCCUAGUGUAGCGGUGAAAUGCGUAGAUAUUAGGAGGAACACCAGUGGCGAAGGCGGCUUUCUGGACUGUAACUGACACUGAGGUACGAAAGCGUGGGGAGCAAACAGG
RNAcentral lists this ribosomal RNA (252 nucleotides) under Ihubacter massiliensis. RNAcentral describes it as "partial 16S ribosomal RNA". It matches the Rfam family "Bacterial small subunit ribosomal RNA", at positions 524 to 776 of the family's 1533-position model. Lineage: Bacteria; Bacillati; Bacillota; Clostridia; Peptostreptococcales; Anaerovoracaceae. The record is from RNAcentral.